AAGCAAUGGUCUCCUGAACGUGCGUUGCACCCUUGGGAUUUCCUGAGAGUAUGUCUGCUUCAGUGCUUAACUUGCCCCAA
Molecule: ribosomal RNA, 80 nt
Filed under: Symbiodinium sp. clade C ex Pteraeolidia ianthina
Lineage: Eukaryota; Dinophyceae; Suessiales; Symbiodiniaceae
Description: partial 5.8S ribosomal RNA
Source: RNAcentral